AACGAACGCUGGCGGCAGGCCUCAAACAUGCAAGUCUAGGGGGUGUAGCAAUACAUCACCGGCGGACGGGUGCGUAACGCGUGGGAAUAUACCUAUUGGUUCGGAACAACUGAGGGAAACUUCAGCUAAUACCGGAUACGUCCUUACGGAGAAAGAUUUAUCGCCAAUAGAUUAGCCCGCGUUCGAUUAGCUAGUUGGUGGGGUAACGGCCCACCAAGGCGACGAUCGAUAGCUGUUCUGAGAGGAAGAUCAGCCACACUGGGACUGAGACACGGCCCAGACUCCUACGGGAGGCAGCAGUUGGGAAUCUUGGACAAUGGGGGAAACCCUGAUCCAGCCAUGCCGCGUGAGUGAUGAAGGCCUUCGGGUUGUAAAACUCUUUCGUCGCACGACGAUAAUGACGGUAGUGCGAGAAGAAGCUCCGGCUAACUUCGUG
This 436-nucleotide ribosomal RNA is filed under the name uncultured bacterium. Its description in RNAcentral is "bacterial SSU rRNA". It matches the Rfam family "Bacterial small subunit ribosomal RNA", at positions 29 to 507 of the family's 1533-position model. The record is from RNAcentral.